GACGAACGCUGGCGGCGUGCUUAACACAUGCAAGUCGAACGGAAAGGCCCUGCUUUUGUGGGGUGCUCGAGUGGCGAACGGGUGAGUAACACGUGAGUAACCUGCCCUUGACUUUGGGAUAACUUCAGGAAACUGGGGCUAAUACCGGAUAGGAGCUCCUGCUGCUGGUGGGGGUUGGAAAGUUUCGGCGGUUGGGGAUGGACUCGCGGCUUAUCAGCUUGUUGGUGGGGUAGUGGCUUACCAAGGCUUUGACGGGUAGCCGGCCUGAGAGGGUGACCGGCCACAUUGGGACUGAGAUACGGCCCAGACUCCUACGGGAGGCAGCAGUGGGGAAUAUUGCACAAUGGGCGGAAGCCUGAUGCAGCAACGCCGCGUGCGGGAUGACGGCCUUCGGGUUGUAAACCGCUUUCGCCUGUGACGAAGCGUGAGUGACGGUAAUGGGUAAAGAAGCACCGGCUAACUACGUG
This 467-nucleotide ribosomal RNA is filed under the name uncultured bacterium. RNAcentral's name for it is "partial 16S ribosomal RNA". It matches the Rfam family "Bacterial small subunit ribosomal RNA", at positions 28 to 507 of the family's 1533-position model. The record is from RNAcentral.